ACGACCUUACUUGAACAGGAUCUGUUCUAUAGGCUCGUACCUCUGUAUCCUUGAUUCCUAAGGAGACAGGAAACCAUGUCUGGUUGAUGACCCAUGGCCGCUCGACCAGAGCGUGAUUUAACCGAACUCACUGGCUCGCCCAGUUGACUCAGUAGAUGAUCGUUCUCGGUCAGCUUCGGCUGCCCGAGGUGGUCGAGCAGCUGUCUGACAGACU
Molecule: small nucleolar RNA, 214 nt
Filed under: Erythranthe guttata (spotted monkey flower)
Lineage: Eukaryota; Viridiplantae; Streptophyta; Magnoliopsida; Lamiales; Phrymaceae
Description: Mimulus guttatus (spotted monkey flower) Plant small nucleolar RNA U3
Rfam family: Plant small nucleolar RNA U3
About the family: Small nucleolar RNAs (snoRNAs) are involved in the processing and modification of rRNA in the nucleolus.
Source: Rfam by way of RNAcentral